UACGUAGGGUGCGCGAGUUAAUCGGAAUUACUGGGCGUAAAGCGUGCGCAGGCGGUUUUGUAAGACAGGCGUGAAAUCCCCGGGCUCAACCUGGGAAUGGCGCUUGUGACUGCAAGGCUGGAGUGCGGCAGAGGGGGAUGGAAUUCCGCGUGUAGCAGUGAAAUGCGUAGAUAUGCGGAGGAACACCGAUGGCGAAGGCAAUCCCCUGGGCCUGCACUGACGAUCAUGUACGAAAGCGUGGGGAGCAAACAGG
Molecule: ribosomal RNA, 253 nt
Filed under: uncultured bacterium
Lineage: Bacteria
Description: partial 16S ribosomal RNA
Rfam family: Bacterial small subunit ribosomal RNA
Source: RNAcentral